Molecule: ribosomal RNA, 274 nt
Filed under: uncultured bacterium
Lineage: Bacteria
Description: partial 16S ribosomal RNA
Rfam family: Bacterial small subunit ribosomal RNA
Source: RNAcentral
AUACAGAGGGUGCGAGCGUUAAUCGGAAUUACUGGGCGUAAAGCGCGCGUAGGCGGCUACUUAAGUCAGAUGUGAAAUCCCCGGGCUCAACCUGGGAACUGCAUCUGAUACUGGGUAGCUAGAGUUUAGGAGAGGGAAGUAGAAUUUCAGGUGUAGCGGUGAAAUGCAUAGAGAUCUGAAGGAAUACCAGUGGCGAAGGCGGCUUCCUGGCCUAAAACUGACGCUGUGGUGCGAAAGCGUGGGUAGCAAACGGGGUUAGAAACCCCAGUAGUCC